This 70-nucleotide transfer RNA is filed under the name Dipodomys ordii (Ord's kangaroo rat). It matches the Rfam family "tRNA". From Rfam's summary of the family: Transfer RNA (tRNA) molecules are approximately 80 nucleotides in length. Their secondary structure includes four short double-helical elements and three loops (D, anti-codon, and T loops). The record is from Rfam by way of RNAcentral. Lineage: Eukaryota; Metazoa; Chordata; Mammalia; Rodentia; Heteromyidae.
GGGAAUGUGGCUUAGUGGUAGAGUGCUUGCUUAGCAUGCAUGAAGUCCUGGGUUCGAUCCCUCAGUACCA